Molecule: long non-coding RNA, 345 nt
Filed under: Danio rerio (zebrafish)
Lineage: Eukaryota; Metazoa; Chordata; Actinopteri; Cypriniformes; Danionidae
Description: lncRNA (ENSDARG00000117523.1)
Source: RNAcentral
ACAGUAAAAUUGUAACUUUUUUUUUUUUCUUGGCUCCCUGACUGAGCUUUAUUUCUCCCUAGGUUUUCUGUCACCUGAUAGAGUUUGGCUUCAUUACCACUGAUGCUUUCUAUCUUGCUCAGCUUGGGUCUGAAAGUCUUGCUUUUCAGAAAUGCUAGUGGUCAAAUCAUGUCACUAAGGUCUCUGUGCCAAAUUGGAUUCCACCUACGCAGACCCACCACCUGUUCUGCCCAGCCAUGAUGUUGUCCUCCAACACCUGCUGACCCCUCCGAGCACUCUGGUAUGUCUUCAGAUUAAUUUCUGCCCCAUUACUGCACUAAAACCAAGGCGUAUUUCUACCCUUGG